RNAcentral lists this ribosomal RNA (516 nucleotides) under uncultured bacterium. Its description in RNAcentral is "partial 16S ribosomal RNA". It matches the Rfam family "Bacterial small subunit ribosomal RNA", at positions 29 to 523 of the family's 1533-position model. The record is from RNAcentral.
AGCGAACGCUGGCGGCGUGCCUAACACAUGCAAGUCGAACGUGAACGGGGGCAACCCCUAGUAAAGUGGCGUACGGGUGAAUAACGCGUAGGCAAUCUACCCCAAAGUCUGGAAUAACCUGCCGAAAGGCGGGCUAAUACUGGAUAGAGCGACGGAAUCCGUAAUUGGGUUUUUCGGGAAAGGGAGGGAGCAAUCCCCCUUGCUUUGGGAUGGGCCUGCGUCCCAUCAGCUAGUUGGUAAGGUAACGGCUUACCAAGGCGAUGACGGGUAGCUGGUCUGAGAGGGUGAUCAGGCACACUGGAACUGAAACACGGUCCAGACUCCUACGGGAGGCAGCAGUGGGGAAUCUUGCGCAAUGGACGAAAGUCUGACGCAGCCACGCCGCGUGAGUGAAGAAGGCCUUCGGGUUGUAAAGCUCUGUCGGAGGGGACGAAAAUGCUUAGGGUUCACAGCCCUAGGAACUGACGGUACCCUUAAAGGAAGCACCGGCUAACUACGUGCCAGCCGCCGCCGUAA